This 251-nucleotide ribosomal RNA is filed under the name uncultured bacterium. RNAcentral's name for it is "partial 16S ribosomal RNA". It matches the Rfam family "Bacterial small subunit ribosomal RNA", at positions 355 to 596 of the family's 1533-position model. The record is from RNAcentral.
UAGGGAAUCUUCGGCAAUGGGGGCAACCCUGACCGAGCAACGCCGCGUGAGUGAAGAAGGUUUUCGGAUCGUAAAGCUCUGUUGUAAGUCAAGAACGGGUGUGAGAGUGGAAAGUUCACACUGUGACGGUAGCUUACCAGAAAGGGACGGCUAACUACGUGCCAGCAGCCGCGGUAAUACGUAGGUCCCGAGCGUUGUCCGGAUUUAUUGAGCGUAAAGGCGAGCGCAGGCGGUUUGAUAAGUCUGAAGUU